AGAGAGGAGACGAACUCAACCUACUUAGCUAUAAUCCAAAAUGAAGCCACUGUUUCUUUUAGUUUGUGUUCUCUUAGCUUCCUCUUUCUUUAUUCCCAUUUCCGCCAUGCCUAUCCAGAACCAGCCCUUGGAUGGUGAACGCAAAGGAAAUGAAUGUGGUCGUGGAAUCAAAUGCAUACCAAAGCCAACGCCACGGCCUACUAAGUGUAAAAGAAACAAUCCUUACUGCAGGCCUCCCUGAAUGUGGUAAAAAAUAAAGCUAUGGGCCUAUGGACGAUAUGGAUAUGGGUGAAGUUAUGCUAGUAAUAAAUUAACAAAUAAAUAAAGUUUCCCCCCAUGCUUCAUGACCCAUGGCAAUUACCACAUCAUCAUCAAUGAAGUUCUUGUAAUGAUCGUAUCAUUACUUUCAUGACUACUAGUUUGUAUGUGUUAUGUUUAUGUUUAAUAAAUUAUGGAGUGUUUUUAUGUUGAAAAAUAUCAAGUACUACUUUGAUUGUGAUAGGUUUAUAUGUUUAUGUUUGAGGAAAUUAUUUCAAAAUGAAAAUCACAUAAACCAUGAUUUGUACUCCGUUUCAA
Molecule: long non-coding RNA, 576 nt
Organism: Gossypium raimondii (Peruvian cotton)
Lineage: Eukaryota; Viridiplantae; Streptophyta; Magnoliopsida; Malvales; Malvaceae
Exons: 2
Source: RefSeq, a predicted model, not a curated record